This 833-nucleotide long non-coding RNA is filed under the name Nicotiana benthamiana. RNAcentral describes it as "long non-coding RNA (NBEN_LNC016293)". Lineage: Eukaryota; Viridiplantae; Streptophyta; Magnoliopsida; Solanales; Solanaceae. The record is from RNAcentral.
AUUUUUUUCCUUUUCGUUUCUUUCCAAUAGCUACUUUUUAGCUACAAUCUACACUAAUGACUCUAUCAUCACCACCUACUCUUCACUAAAUUCUUCUUAAUUCAGAAGCUAAACGGCUUUAUUAGUUAAAACGGAAUCGUAAUCAGGGUGGGCAGAAAUUGAACAUUAAUUUUAUUGAUUUUGUUUGUGGUUUUUGUAAUUAGCUUAAAUCUUGAAUUGUGAUUUUAGCAUUAUUGUGGUAAAGGUUCUGUUUUUACAGAAAUCAGGUUGUAUAUUAUUUUUCUCUAUCAUAUGAUCUCGUUGUUUCUCAACGAACCGUAUGGAUAUGCAUUUCUAGGUUAUUUUCUUCAUGUUUUUAUGAGUUUUUGUUCUUUACAUUUUCUGGUGGUUCAAUGGGUCUUGAUUGCAGUUUUGACAAGUGGGGAGAGAUGAACUUUGUAUUUGCGAUAGAGGUGGAUUGCUGAAAAACUUAGUACUUUUGAAGUUCUUGACAGUGGUGAGUUCGUCACCCAUGGUUCAAUAUUAGCCUGGGAAGAUGAAGAAGAUGGAGUAAUGAGAAAUUUUUUGGUAGUUAGCGGUAGAAUUGUAAUUUUAAGUAUUUUAUUUUUUUAAAAUAAAGUAAUGACACAUGUUACAAUCUUGUUGGUGCGUGUUAUGCACCUGCCUAAAAAAAGUGGUUAAAAUAAAAGUGGUAUGUCUUAGACACAUUUUAAAAAGGUUGAGUAUUUAAAGUAAUUUUUAUCUAUAAAAAAUGUAUUACGGGAAUUUAAUCCAUUAUUUAAGGAUUAAACUAUGUAUUUACAGAUGCUUCAAUAAAGUGAUUAAGUGACCAG